AUAAAAGCUAGUUUAAAUAAAACCCUUAAUUUCGGCUUAAGAUAUUUUGGCAAUAACUCCAAAGCUUUUAUA
This 72-nucleotide transfer RNA is filed under the name Distolasterias nipon. RNAcentral describes it as "tRNA-Arg". Lineage: Eukaryota; Metazoa; Echinodermata; Asteroidea; Forcipulatida; Asteriidae. The record is from RNAcentral.